This 417-nucleotide long non-coding RNA is filed under the name Zea mays. Its description in RNAcentral is "long non-coding RNA (ZMAY_LNC001235)". The record is from RNAcentral. Lineage: Eukaryota; Viridiplantae; Streptophyta; Magnoliopsida; Poales; Poaceae.
GGAGGAUGGCCAAGCGAAAGGAGGCCGCUGCUAGACAUCAUCGUCCCGAGAAACAUGCAGGUACCGAUUACUCUGCAUCGUUUCAGAAUACUAGUAUUUUUUUUCUUCAGCUUUGAUCGUUGCUUCUCGUGCUACGGUUGCUAAGUGACAUCUCAUGUCUCAAGACUGAUCACUGUGCUGCUGUGCCUGUGUUGCAGCUCCUCGUGGAAGCCAAAAUGGAUCAGGAGCUAUCUGAUUCGUCAAGGAGCUGAAUUCUUCGCCUAUGCCUGCCGUCGCCUGUUGUCUACUGGCAACAAGAUUCAGAAUAAUUUAUGUUUUUAUAGUUUGUAGUGCUCCAUCCGUUCAAAUUUUAGGUUUAUUCUUGAACAAUCUUUUUCACUCUAACCAUUUUGAAGAGAAAUAAUACAUCGAUAUGCA